RNAcentral lists this ribosomal RNA (328 nucleotides) under uncultured eukaryote. Its description in RNAcentral is "partial 18S ribosomal RNA". It matches the Rfam family "Eukaryotic small subunit ribosomal RNA", at positions 1470 to 1796 of the family's 1831-position model. The record is from RNAcentral.
CCCUUAGACGUUCUGGGCCGCACGCGCGCUACACUGACGGAGCCAGCGAGUAUAAACCUUGGCCGAGAGGUCUGGGAAAUCUUGUGAAACUCCGUCGUGCUGGGGAUAGAGCAUUGUAAUUAUUGCUCUUCAACGAGGAAUUCCUAGUAAGCGCAAGUCAUCAGCUUGCGUUGAUUACGUCCCUGCCCUUUGUACACACCGCCCGUCGCUACUACCGAUUGAAUGGCUUAGUGAGGCUUCCGGAUUGGUUUAGAGAAGGGGGCAACUCCAUCUUGGAACCGAGAAGCUAGUCAAACUUGAUCAUUUAGAGGAAGUAAAAGUCGUAACA